Molecule: non-coding RNA, 155 nt
Filed under: Volvox carteri f. nagariensis
Lineage: Eukaryota; Viridiplantae; Chlorophyta; Chlorophyceae; Chlamydomonadales; Volvocaceae
Description: Microsporidia small subunit ribosomal RNA
Rfam family: Eukaryotic small subunit ribosomal RNA
Source: Rfam by way of RNAcentral
CACCGCCCGUCGCUCCUACCGAUUGGGUGUGCUGGUGAAGUGUUCGGAUUGACUUUGACUGGGGCAACCUGGUCAUGGUUGAGAAGUUCAUUAAACCCUCCCACCUAGAGGAAGGAGAAGUCGUAACAAGGUUUCCGUAGGUGAACCUGCGGAAG